Molecule: long non-coding RNA, 282 nt
Filed under: Vigna radiata
Lineage: Eukaryota; Viridiplantae; Streptophyta; Magnoliopsida; Fabales; Fabaceae
Description: long non-coding RNA (VRAD_LNC011787)
Source: RNAcentral
UUUCUCUGCAAGUUUAGAAUUCUAUAUUUUGAUUGCAAUUGUGUUCUGGAAUCUGCUACUAUCGUUCUACUGUUUCACCUUAGGUUUAAUGCAUUUUUCCAGUUUCUGAUUUACUUCUUUUAUACUUUAGCAUUUAGUUUCAUGUAAUUCUAGGUAUUUGUUUAGUUAGCUUUAGUUUAGGUUUCAGUUUAAAUUUUUCUUGCAUUUUUUUUUCUUCAACCAGAUUUUAGUUUAGACUAGAUGUUUCCUUUUUAGUUCCACUCUUUUUAAAUGUCCCCACCU